Stomoxys calcitrans (stable fly) is the source of this 950-nucleotide long non-coding RNA. RefSeq lists it as uncharacterized. NCBI's taxonomy places the organism in Eukaryota, Metazoa, Arthropoda, Insecta, Diptera, Muscidae. The transcript is spliced from 2 exons. The record is from RefSeq and is a predicted model, not a curated record.
CAGCAAAUGUCAAGUUUACAAGUAUCGGCAAUUAUUUUAUUUUUCUUCAAAGCAAGCGGCUCUGCCGAAAAAAUUAAACAAAUCAAAUUUACAGCAAAAAGAAAAGAAAUAAAAGAAAGAAAGAUACACAUAUUAGAAGCUUAGACUGCCGAAACCUUACAUACGUGCAUUACACCAUAGUUUCUUUUACGGAAAAGGAAAUAAUGGAUAUAUAGAGAAUGCAAACGACUCAAGCUGCAGGCCAUUGAGAGCAGUAUUCUCUUGCGGGAUGUUCUUAGAUAAUUCUCAUUUUUCUAUAUUCACAAGCGCCACCAACCAGUCUAUGUGCGAAGUUCAAAUUCUUUACAUAUGAUUUAUCUAUGUCGAACAUUCUACUAUCGGAUUAUUUUUAAUGAGUUAUGUUUUUCGGUGUUGGCAGCACUGUUUGAUAAACGUCAUCUGUGGAAGUGAUAAGUGUUCAGUAUACUCUGCCCUUUCAUCAUCGAGAAACUUACAAACCUGAAACAACUUCAAAUCGUAGAAUUUUUUUAUUAUAUUCGUGCAAGAUUUAACAAAAAAUUCUGUUUAGCGAAGAGAUUCAUUUCUGGCUAAAUGGAACGGUUGCUCCCCACCCCUCUUACGUUUUAUCGGAGUAAUAAAGCUAUAAAGGCCUGUUCCGGUUUCCGAAAACGCAAAACGAAGGAUUUUCUUAGCCACAUAUCUUGCAAACCUUGCCAUAUCUAUGCUGGAAUGUAUAUUAUCAUCAAAUUUCUAUAUAGUAAGAGGAACCUCAACUGAUAUCAAAACAUAAAAGAAGAAUACCUAAAAAAAUAUAGGCAAACAAUUUUUUUUCCUUCUUCAAAUUCGAAAACUGAAACGGGCCUGAUGGUUUAAAAUAUCUUAAUUUACAAAAAAGUUAUAACAAAUUUUUAUGUAUAUAUUUAUUUUGUUUAUUAAACGCAUCAAAAAUA